GUGCCAGCAGCCGCGGUAAUACGGAAGGUCCGGGCGUUAUCCGGAUUUAUUGGGUUUAAAGGGAGCGUAGGCGGGAUGUUAAGCGUGCUGUGAAAAUCUGCGGCUCAACCGUAGUCGUGCAGCGCGAACUGGCUUCCUUGAGUGCGCGGGAGGUACGCGGAAUACGUGGUGUAGCGGUGAAAUGCUUAGAUAUCACGAGGAACCCCGAUUGCGAAGGCAGCGUGCCGUAGCGUUACUGACGCUGAAGCUCGAAGGUGCGGGUAUCGAACAGGAUUAGAUACCCUGGUAGUCCGCACGGUAAACGAUGGAUGCCCGCUGUCGGCGCUAUGUCGCCGGCGGCCAAGCGAAAGCGUUAAGCAUCCCACCUGGGGAGUACGCCGGCAACGGUGAAACUCAAAGGAAUUGACGGGGGCCCGCACAAGCGGAGGAACAUGUGGUUUAAUUCGAUGAUACGCGAGGAACCUUACCCGGGCUUGAACUGCAGAGGACUUCGGCGGAGACGCCGUUUCCCUUCGGGGCCUCUGUGGAGGUGCUGCAUGGUUGUCGUCAGCUCGUGCCGUGAGGUGUCGGCUUAAGUGCCAUAACGAGCGCAACCCCUCUCCGUAGUUGCCAUCGGGUCGUGCCGGGCACUCUGCGGACACUGCCACCGCAAGGUGCGAGGAAGGUGGGGACGACGUCAAAUCAGCACGGCCCUUACGUCCGGGGCUACACACGUGUUACAAUGGGGUGUACAGAGAGCGGGCGCUGCGCAAGCCGCGUCGAAUCAGCAAAGCACCCCUCAGUUCGGACUGGGGUCUGCAACCCGACCCCACGAAGCUGGAUUCGCUAGUAAUCGCGCAUCAGCCAUGGCGCGGUGAAUACGUUCCCGGGCCUUGUACACACCGCCCGU
RNAcentral lists this ribosomal RNA (889 nucleotides) under uncultured bacterium. RNAcentral's name for it is "bacterial SSU rRNA". It matches the Rfam family "Bacterial small subunit ribosomal RNA", at positions 505 to 1397 of the family's 1533-position model. The record is from RNAcentral.